RNAcentral lists this ribosomal RNA (481 nucleotides) under uncultured bacterium. RNAcentral describes it as "bacterial SSU rRNA". It matches the Rfam family "Bacterial small subunit ribosomal RNA", at positions 36 to 524 of the family's 1533-position model. The record is from RNAcentral.
AACCUGGCGGCGUGCUUAACCAUGCAAGUCGAACGGAGUCUAGAUGAAAGCUUGCUUUUGACUAAACUUAGUGGCGGACGGGUGAGUAACGCGUGGGUAACCUGCCUUAUACAGGGGGAUAACAGUCGGAAACGACUGCUAAUACCGCAUAAGCGCACGGAAUCGCAUGAUUCAGUGUGAAAAGAUUUAUCGGUAUAAGAUGGACCCGCGUCUGAUUAGCUAGUUGGUGAGGUAACGGCCCACCAAGGCGACGAUCAGUAGCCGGCCUGAGAGGGUGAACGGCCACAUUGGGACUGAGACACGGCCCAAACUCCUACGGGAGGCAGCAGUGGGGAAUAUUGCACAAUGGGGGAAACCCUGAUGCAGCGACGCCGCGUGAGUGAAGAAGUAUUUCGGUAUGUAAAGCUCUAUCAGCAGGGAAGAAAAUGACGGUACCUGACUAAGAAGCCCCGGCUAACUACGUGCCAGCAGCCGCGGUAAU